RNAcentral lists this ribosomal RNA (409 nucleotides) under uncultured prokaryote. RNAcentral's name for it is "bacterial SSU rRNA". It matches the Rfam family "Archaeal small subunit ribosomal RNA", at positions 339 to 747 of the family's 1478-position model. The record is from RNAcentral.
GCGCGAAACCUUUACACUGCGCGACAGCGCGAUAGGGGGAUCCCAAGUGCGAGGGCAUACAGUCCUCGCUUUUUCCUACCGUAAGGUGGUAGGCGAAUAAGAGCUGGGCAAGACCGGUGCCAGCCGCCGCGGUAAUACCGGCAGCUCGAGUGAUGGCCACUAUUAUUGGGCCUAAAGCGUCCGUAGCCGGCUAGACAGGUCCGUCGGGAAAUCCACUCGCUCAACGGGUGGGCGUCCGGCGGAAACCAGCUAGCUUGGGACCGAGCGACCUGAGGGGUACGUCCGGGGUAGGAGUGAAAUCCCGUAAUCCCGGACGGACCAUCGGUGGCGAAAGCGCCUCAGGAGAGCGGAUCCGACGGUGAGGGACGAAAGCUAGGGUCUCGAACCGGAUUAGAUACCCCCGUAGUCC